CGGCGGCAUCGCGGGGAUACCCAGCCAGCGGCAGCCACGGCAGCGGGCGUACGGCUCCGGCAGAGGUGUCUGGUGUUGGCGUUGGCGGACACGGAGGCCGCUGGGGCCCUCCGGGUCAGGUGGACCAGCUUGGCUGCGGAGCCACCGGGGCAGCGGAGGCGGUUUUGGCGGUGGCGGCGGCGGCCUUGGCGGCAGCGGCUAGACGGUCCGACUAGCGGAGUGUUGCAGUGGCGGCUACGGUGGCCACGGAGGCAGGGGCUGGAGGGCUCCGGGAGCCAGGGCGGCCCCUGCAGCAGCGGGGUGUUGCAGUGGCAGUGGCGGCGGCGGCGGCCACGGCGGCAGUGGGGGGACGGCCCCGCGAGUGGAGUGUGGCCCUGGCGGCGGCGGAGACGGCGGUCCCCGGGGGCGGGCAUACCCCAGCCGCAGCAGCAGCAGCCCCCGCAGCAGCAGCAGCCCCCCCUGCAGCCGCCGCCGCCGCCUACGCAGAGAGUGAGCAGCCCGGCCAGCAGACCCCCGCGGGGUCGGCCCCGCCAGCGGACCCCUGCCACAUCUGCAGGCGGCUUUAGGCGGGCGGCGGCAAGUCCCCGGGAGGCGGCAGCAAGUGGUCGGAUCGUGGCGAGCGCUCGCACCACCCCAACAAGCGCUCGCACCACCCCGGUAAGCGCUGGUACCACCGUGGCGAGCGCUCGCACCGGCGGGACAAGCGCCCGCACCACCCCGGCAAAUGCUCACCCGUCCUCGGGAAGCGCCCGCACCACCCCGGCGGCCAGUCCCGGGACCGCGGGAAGCCCUCGAGCCACAGGAAGUCCUCGGGCAGCCACAAUUCCUCGAGCGGCCGCCAGUCCUCAGACCUUGGGAAGCCCUCGGCUCUCCGGAAGUCCUCAGACGGCAGCGAGUCCUCGGGCUGCGGGGAGUCCUCGAGCAGCAGCAGUUCCCCAGCCCAUUGUUGGGCCACGUCGGGUAGCUCCUCAGGCAGCCGAAAUUCCUCAUCCAGUUCCUUCCCAGGUGGCCAGUUUGCCUG
RNAcentral lists this long non-coding RNA (1021 nucleotides) under Sarcophilus harrisii (Tasmanian devil). RNAcentral's name for it is "lncRNA (ENSSHAG00000032316.1)". The record is from RNAcentral. Lineage: Eukaryota; Metazoa; Chordata; Mammalia; Dasyuromorphia; Dasyuridae.